Molecule: ribosomal RNA, 641 nt
Filed under: Salmonella enterica subsp. enterica serovar Enteritidis
Lineage: Bacteria; Pseudomonadati; Pseudomonadota; Gammaproteobacteria; Enterobacterales; Enterobacteriaceae
Description: partial 23S ribosomal RNA
Rfam family: Bacterial large subunit ribosomal RNA
Source: RNAcentral
AGACCCGAAACCCGGUGAUCUAGCCAUGGGCAGGUUGAAGGUUGGGUAACACUAACUGGAGGACCGAACCGACUAAUGUUGAAAAAUUAGCGGAUGACCUGUGGCUGGGGGUGAAAGGCCAAUCAAACCGGGAGAUAGCUGGUUCUCCCCGAAAGCUAUUUAGGUAGCGCCUCGUGAAUUCAUCUCCGGGGGUAGAGCACUGUUUCGGCUAGGGGGCCAUCCCGGCUUACCAACCCGAUGCAAACUGCGAAUACCGGAGAAUGUUAUCACGGGAGACACACGGCGGGUGCUAACGUCCGUCGUGAAGAGGGAAACAACCCAGACCGCCAGCUAAGGUCCCAAAGUCAUGGUUAAGUGGGAAACGAUGUGGGAAGGCCCAGACAGCCAGGAUGUUGGCUUAGAAGCAGCCAUCAUUUAAAGAAAGCGUAAUAGCUCACUGGUCGAGUCGGCCUGCGCGGAAGAUGUAACGGGGCUAAACCAUGCACCGAAGCUGCGGCAGCGACGCUUAUGCGUUGUUGGGUAGGGGAGCGUUCUGUAAGCCUGCGAAGGUGGCCUGUGAGGGUUGCUGGAGGUAUCAGAAGUGCGAAUGCUGACAUAAGUAACGAUAAAGCGGGUGAAAAGCCCGCUCGCCGGAAGACCAA